AAAGCUGAAGAAGAUGAAGAAAUCACUAUUUUACAGAUUCCACAUGAUGUAAAGUACAACUUUAGAAAAGAAGAGGAUAUCAACAUUGUGCAGAUUUCACAGGAUGUGUUGAGCAGUUAUUAAGAGGACGAAAAAAAUCACCCCCUGACAGAACACAGACACGAGAAGAAAAAUUACCAGAUACAAGAAAUCAGUGUGGU
Saccostrea echinata is the source of this 200-nucleotide long non-coding RNA. RefSeq lists it as uncharacterized. Lineage: Eukaryota; Metazoa; Mollusca; Bivalvia; Ostreida; Ostreidae. The transcript is spliced from 4 exons. The record is from RefSeq and is a predicted model, not a curated record.